Molecule: ribosomal RNA, 497 nt
Filed under: uncultured bacterium
Lineage: Bacteria
Description: partial 16S ribosomal RNA
Rfam family: Bacterial small subunit ribosomal RNA
Source: RNAcentral
GACGAACGCUGGCGGCGUGCCUAAUACAUGCAAGUCGAGCGAUGAAGCUUUGUGCUUGCGCUCAUUUGAAGAGCAGCGAACGGGUGAGUAACGCGUGGGGAAUCUGCUUUUGUUUGGGGGACAACAUUUGGAAACGAAUGAUAAUACCGCAUAAUAACUUUAAACAUAGGUUUUAAGUUUGAAUGAUGCAAUUGCAUCACUCAAAGAUGAUCCCGCGUUGUAUUAGCUAGUUGGUGAGGUAAAGGCUCACCAAGGCGAUGAUACAUAGCCGACCUGAGAGGGCGGUCGGCCACAUUGGGACUGAGACACGGCCCAAAAGUCUACGGGAGGGAGCAGGAGGGAAACUUCGGCAAUGGACGGAAGUCUGACCGAGAAACGCCGCGGGCGGGAAGAAGGGUGUCGGGUCGUAAAACUCGGUUUGUAGAGUAGAACGUUGGUGAGAGUGGAAAGCUCAUCAAGUGACGGUAACUACCCAGAAAGGAACGGCUAACUACGUG